GGACUACUAGGGUUUCUAAUUCCGUUCGCUCCCCUAGCUUUCGCGCCUCAGCGUCAGGUGCGGCCCAGCUGGCCGCCUUCGCCACUGGUGUUCUGCCUGAUCUCAACGCAUUUCACCGCUACUCCAGGCAUUCCGCCAGCCCCUACCGCCCUCUAGCUUCCUCGUUUGGACUGCACUCCCCCAGGUGAGCCGGGGGCUUUCACAACCCACGUAACAAGCCGCCUACGCGCUCUUUACGCCCAGUAAUUCCGGACAACGCUCGCAUCCUACGUAUUACCGCGGCUGCUGGCAC
This 292-nucleotide ribosomal RNA is filed under the name uncultured bacterium. RNAcentral's name for it is "partial 16S ribosomal RNA". The record is from RNAcentral.